This 473-nucleotide ribosomal RNA is filed under the name uncultured organism. RNAcentral describes it as "partial 16S ribosomal RNA". It matches the Rfam family "Bacterial small subunit ribosomal RNA", at positions 332 to 797 of the family's 1533-position model. The record is from RNAcentral.
UACACUCCUGCGGGAGGCAGCAGUGGGGAAUAUUGCACAAUGGGCGCAAGCCUGAUGCAGCCAUGCCGCGUGUAUGAAGAAGGCCUUCGGGUUGUAAAGUACUUUCAGCGGGGAGGAAGGCGAUAAGGUUAAUAACCUUGUUGAUUGACGUUACCCGCAGAAGAAGCACCGGCUAACUCCGUGCCAGCAGCCGCGGUAAUACGGAGGGUGCAAGCGUUAAUCGGAAUUACUGGGCGUAAAGCGCACGCAGGCGGUCUGUCAAGUCGGAUGUGAAAUCCCCGGGCUCAACCUGGGAACUGCAUUCGAAACUGGCAGGCUAGAGUCUUGUAGAGGGGGGUAGAAUUCCAGGUGUAGCGGUGAAAUGCGUAGAGAUCUGGAGGAAUACCGGUGGCGAAGGCGGCCCCCUGGACAAAGACUGACGCUCAGGUGCGAAAGCGUGGGGAGCAAACAGGAUUAGAUACCCUAGUAGUCCC